AUUGAACGCUGGCGGCAUGCCUUACACAUGCAAGUCGAACGGUAACGGGCCUUCGGGUGCCGACGAGUGGCGAACGGGUGAGUAAUGCAUCGGAACGUACCUUUCAGUGGGGGAUAACGUAGCGAAAGUUACGCUAAUACCGCAUAUUCUGUGAGCAGGAAAGCAGGGGAUCGCAAGACCUUGCGCUGAUUGAGCGGCCGAUGUCAGAUUAGCUAGUUGGUGAGGUAAAGGCUCACCAAGGCGACGAUCUGUAGCGGGUCUGAGAGGAUGAUCCGCCACACUGGGACUGAGACACGGCCCAGACUCCUACGGGAGGCAGCAGUGGGGAAUUUUGGACAAUGGGGGCAACCCUGAUCCAGCCAUGCCGCGUGAGUGAAGAAGGCCUUCGGGUUGUAAAGCUCUUUCGGCCGGGAAGAAAUCGCACAGGCUAAUACCUUGUGUGGAUGACGGUACCGGAAUAAGAAGCACCGGCUAACUACGUGCCAGCCGCCGCAGUAA
Molecule: ribosomal RNA, 498 nt
Filed under: uncultured bacterium
Lineage: Bacteria
Description: partial 16S ribosomal RNA
Rfam family: Bacterial small subunit ribosomal RNA
Source: RNAcentral